This 288-nucleotide ribosomal RNA is filed under the name Gittenedouardia spadicea. RNAcentral describes it as "partial large subunit ribosomal RNA". It matches the Rfam family "Archaeal large subunit ribosomal RNA", at positions 2005 to 2625 of the family's 2987-position model. The record is from RNAcentral. Lineage: Eukaryota; Metazoa; Mollusca; Gastropoda; Stylommatophora; Cerastidae.
CGGCCGCAGUACCCUGACUGUGCUAAGGUAGCAUAAUAAUUUGGCUUUUAAUUGGAGUCUGGUAUGAACGAAUAAAUGGGGAGGGACUGUCUCUUACUUAUUAGGUGAAAAUACCUAAGAUUAAACAUUAGACGAGAAGACCCUUAGAAUUAUUUUUUGUUGGGGCAACACUGUCAGAGGGUAUCUGACUCAAGGUAGUAAAAGUGAACUUAAUUACCUAAGGGAUAACAGCAUAAUAUCUCUUCUUGAUUGUGACCUCGAUGUUGGACUAGGAAACCCACCCACUAG